Molecule: long non-coding RNA, 492 nt
Filed under: Homo sapiens (human)
Lineage: Eukaryota; Metazoa; Chordata; Mammalia; Primates; Hominidae
Description: HSALNT0247428
Source: RNAcentral
AUUGAUCUGAACUGAGAUGGAGCGAGGAGCAGGCCAGCAACUGUGACCCGGCACCUAACCUAGAAAGGGGGCUAAAAAGCACCAAUAAGAGACAAUUAUGUUCUCAAGACCUUCCCUCAGGGAGAAAUGUUCUGGUCUGUCAUUUGGGGUGAGGCGGUGAGACCAUCAAGGACAGAGAAUCAAAAGUCUUCCUCUGGGGAGGGUGUCUGAUCAGCUCUAGGGGCAUUGGCUUUUCUGGGAAGCUUUGCAAGCUUUGGUCUUGAAUACAGGUUGAGCAAUUAGUUACAGAUUAUUUUGUUGGAAGGGUCGCCAAAGGGACAGCCCUCCUGCAGCACCUGCCUCAGAUACAUCCCACCAUACAGGCCACUGAGAUGGCCCUAUGAGUUGACACAGAGCCAGGGAGGCCAGCAGACACGGACAAAGGCCGGGAAGCUUACAAAGGAGCAGUCAGCCCAGGAGGAGGGCUGCAGUGAGGCCACAGAAGUCCAUGGU